This 384-nucleotide unclassified non-coding RNA is filed under the name uncultured bacterium. RNAcentral's name for it is "contains 16S-23S intergenic spacer region". The record is from RNAcentral.
UCCGGCUUGCCACCGGCAGUUCCACUAGAGUGCCCAGCUUAACCUGAUGGCAACUAGUAGCGAGGGUUGCGCUCGUUGCGGGACUUAACCCAACAUCUCACGACACGAGCUGACGACAGCCAUGCAGCACCUGUGCAUGCUGGUAUUGCUACCCCGUCCCCCUUUCAGGGUCCUACUACAUGCAUGUCAAGGCCAGGUAAGGUUCUUCGCGUUGCAUCGAAUUAAGCCACAUACUCCACCGCUUGUGCAGGCCCCCGUCAAUUCCUUUGAGUUUUAGCCUUGCGGCCGUACUCCCCAGGCGGGGUGCUUAAUGCGUUAGCUUCGGCACGGACGGGGUUGAUAUCCGCCCACACCUAGCACCCAACGUUUACGGCUAGGACUACC